UGAGACACGGCCCAAACUCCUACGGGAGGCAGCAGUGGGGAAUCUUGCACAAUGGAGGAAACUCUGAUGCAGCGAUGCCGCGUGAGUGAAGAAGGCCUUUGGGUUGUAAAGCUCUUUCGUCGGGGAAGAAAAUGACUGUACCCGAAUAAGAAGGUCCGGCUAACUUCGUGCCAGCAGCCGCGGUAAUACGAAGGGACCUAGCGUAGUUCGGAAUUACUGGGCUUAAAGAGUUCGUAGGUGGUUGAAAAAGUUGGUGGUGAAAUCCCAGAGCUUAACUCUGGAACUGCCAUCAAAACUUUUCAGCUAGAGUAUGAUAGAGGAAAGCAGAAUUUCUAGUGUAGAGGUGAAAUUCGUAGAUAUUAGAAAGAAUACCAAUUGCGAAGGCAGCUUUCUGGAUCAUUACUGACACUGAGGAACGAAAGCAUGGGUAGCGAAGAGGAUUAGAUACCCUCGUAGUCCAUGCCGUAAACGAUGUGUGUUAGACGUUGGAAAUUUAUUUUCAGUGUCGCAGGGAAACCGAUAAACACACCGCCUGGGGAGUACGACCGCAAGGUUAAAACUCAAAUGAAUUGACGGGGACCCGCACAAGUAGUGGAGCAUGUGGUUUAAUUCGAAGAUACGCGCAGAACCUUACCAACACUUGACAUGUUCGUCGCGACUCUAAGAGAUUAGAGUUUUCGGUUCGGCCGGACGAAACACAGGUGCUGCAUGGCUGUCGUCAGCUCGUGUCGUGAGAUGUUGGGUUAAGUCCCGCAACGAGCGCAACCCUCACUUUUAGUUGCCAUCAUUAAGUUGGGCACUCUGAAAGAACUGCCAGUGAUAAGCUGGAGGAAGGUGGGGAUGACGUCAAGUCCUCAUGGCCCUUACGGGUUGGGCUACACACGUGCUACAAUGGCAUCUACAGUGAGUUAAUCUCCAAAAGAUGUCUCAGUUCGGAUUGGGGUCUGCAACUCGACCCCAUGAAGUUGGAAUCGCUAGUAAUCGCGGAACAGCAUGCCGCGGUGAAUACGUUCCCGGGCCUUGUACACACCACCCGUCACACCAUGGGAAUUGGGUCUACCCGAAGGUGGUGCGCCAACUAUUUAUAGGGGCAGCCAACCACGGUAGGUUCAGUGACUGGGGUGAAGUCGUAACAAGGUAACC
This 1143-nucleotide ribosomal RNA is filed under the name uncultured bacterium. RNAcentral describes it as "bacterial SSU rRNA". It matches the Rfam family "Bacterial small subunit ribosomal RNA", at positions 320 to 1501 of the family's 1533-position model. The record is from RNAcentral.